UUCUUUCCUGUCUUGCUAUUUCCUCCUCUUGACCAGCUGGAUAUUUAUUAAUGUUCACUCUGAUAUUUCCUUGUCCUUGCUUCCAUAGCAAGGAGUCCUAAACUUCGAAACCCUUCUACAUACUUGAAGACAGUAGCCUGACCCCUUUGUCCCUAUGUAUAAACAGCCCAGGAAUCACUAUCUUUGUACUGGGUCAUUACUGGAAUGAUUGGUGGUGACUGGUGAGCCAGGACAGGGCUUGACCAGUGCAUGCCCCCUUAUAUUCCUGAUGCCUUGGACCCUGCCGUAAAGGAAGUUUGGGUUCUUUAAUUGCUUGUGAAUGUCACACUUUGUCCCAAAUCUAAUUCUGAAUAAAGCAGACCAGGUUUGACCUGAA
Long non-coding RNA from Antechinus flavipes (yellow-footed antechinus), 376 nucleotides. RefSeq lists it as uncharacterized. The transcript is spliced from 2 exons. Lineage: Eukaryota; Metazoa; Chordata; Mammalia; Dasyuromorphia; Dasyuridae. The record is from RefSeq and is a predicted model, not a curated record.